UAGCUGAGCAGUAAAGCGCUUGACUUCCGAACCGGGGAUCCCGGGUUCGAAUCCCGG
Non-coding RNA from Biomphalaria glabrata, 57 nucleotides. The record is from Rfam. NCBI's taxonomy places the organism in Eukaryota, Metazoa, Mollusca, Gastropoda, Planorbidae.